This 586-nucleotide ribosomal RNA is filed under the name uncultured bacterium. Its description in RNAcentral is "partial 16S ribosomal RNA". It matches the Rfam family "Bacterial small subunit ribosomal RNA", at positions 355 to 1375 of the family's 1533-position model. The record is from RNAcentral.
UGGGGAAUUUUGGACAAUGGGCGAAAGCCUGAUCCAGCAAUGCCGCGUGUGUGAAGAAGGCCUUCGGGUUGUAAAGCACUUUUGUCCGGAAAGAAAUCCUUGGCUCUAAUACAGUCGGGGGAUGACGGUACCGGAAGAAUAAGCACCGGCUAACUACGUGCCAGCAGCCGCGGUAAUACGUAGGGUGCAAGCGUUAAUCGGAAUUACUGGGCGUAAAGCGUGCGCAGGCGGUUUGCUAAGACCGAUGUGAAAUCCCCGGGCUCAACCUGGGAACUGCAUUGGUGACUGGCAGGCUAGAGUAUGGCAGAGGGGGGUAGAAUUCCACGUGUAGCAGUGAAAUGCGUAGAGAUGUGGAGGAAUACCGACGGCGAAGGCAGCCCCCUGGGCCAAUACUGACGCUCAUGCACGAAAGCGUGGGGAGCAAACAGGAUUAGAUACCCUGGUAGUCCCACGCCCUAAACGAUGUCAACUAGUUGUUGGGGAUUCAUUUCCUUAGUAACGUAGCUAACGCGUGAAGUUGACCGCCUGGGGAGUACGGCCGCAAGGUUAAAACUUAAAUGAAUUGACGGGGUCAUAGCUGUUUCCU